CCCGUGUGGUUCAACAUCCUGCUGUGACGGGAAAAGCUUUACGGUCCUGUGCGACCUUCUGGUUUCCCCGUAUCAGCGGCUCCGGGGGUAAACUCAGUUGAGUUUCGUUCCGUGUAGAAUUAACCCCGCCGUUUUACAGUCUGAACCUGAGGAGAGGAGGAAAGAUUUCUUUUGAGGCGGUUUUUCUAGAGAGGCCUAUUCCGAAGUAAGCCUCAGGACGUUCACUAUAUCUUAACCCUAGGUAGAUGUUAUUUCUGUCACCGGGCGGCCUGGGAUCUUCUGUUUCUGAAAAGCUAAGGGAAAUGCCACGGUCAUAUUUAUUCUGACAANGACCACCAACAGAAUUGCAGGAUAUGGGAACGGCAUAAAAUGAAGGAUGUCCUACUGUCAUGUUAGUUGUUCUGCCACACGUGUUUUUGUUGGACCUAAGAACCCCCACUUUUUCAAAUAUAUACCUGUCAUCAGUAGCUCCCAGCAGGACCUUAAUGUUGGUGGGACAUCCAUGAAAUGUGAUCUCCAUUGAAGCACUGGCGUUGUGAUCGGAAUCCAGGAGCAGUACCAUCACUGUCCCCCAGCACAUCCAGAAUUCCCCCAACUCUGCUGGGGAGAGAUUUAUAGUGCAUUGUGAGGAACUGACAAAUUCUUCAAUGGAAAAUAAGCUGCUAGGAAUGUACAGAAAUGAAGCAGAAAAGAAAAUAUCCAAGAAAAACAGACAACCAGGGAAUUAUUUUCUUUAUAGUAAUUAUAUUUUCUUCCUUCAAGAAAAAAGCUCAGGAAAAAAGCUAGUUUUCUAAGUGGUAAUAUUGAAAUGUAAAUGUCAUAAGUAAUUAUAUGCUUUUGAAGUAAAAAUGGUGGACAAUAGCUUUUCAUUGCUUUUCCUGUAAAUUCCAGGGUUUUGUUUUGUUUUUGUUGACACUGCCAGCCCUAGUUGUCCCAAAUGAGCUUAGGAUGGGGCAGGACAAUCCAUUCUGCUCCCCACCCUGCCUUGCUGCUAAGGUAGCUACUGAAAGCAAUGGCUGUGGAUAGAAAUUUAGUAAUUAACUAGGGAGAACCCCUAAUCAGAAGUACAAUACAGUCAAACUGUGUACUUUCGCAUCAGUUCUAGCUUGGAAAUUUGUGUUAACUAACUCCCCUCAUGCUAGUAUAGGAUGAUUAAGGAUUGCACACUGUAUUUACUAAAAAUUAAGUCUGUGCAAUACAUCUUGUGC
Molecule: long non-coding RNA, 1208 nt
Filed under: Salvator merianae (Argentine black and white tegu)
Lineage: Eukaryota; Metazoa; Chordata; Lepidosauria; Squamata; Teiidae
Description: lncRNA (ENSSMRG00000019018.1)
Source: RNAcentral